Molecule: ribosomal RNA, 274 nt
Filed under: uncultured bacterium
Lineage: Bacteria
Description: partial 16S ribosomal RNA
Rfam family: Bacterial small subunit ribosomal RNA
Source: RNAcentral
AUACGGAGGGUGCAAGCGUUACUCGGAAUCACUGGGCGUAAAGCGCGCGCAGGCGGUCUUUUAAGUUGGAUGUGAAAGCCUACGGCUCAACCGUAGAACUGCAUCCAAAACUAUUAGACUAGAGUGUGCGAGAGGAAGAUGGAAUUAGUUGUGUAGGGGUAAAAUCCGUAGAGAUAACUAGGAAUACCAAAAGCGAAGGCAAUCUUCUGGAACACUACUGACGCUGAGGCGCGAAAGCGUGGGGAGCAAACAGGAUUAGAAACCCCAGUAGUCC